ACGGGAGGCAGCAGUGGGGAAUAUUGGACAAUGGGGGAAACCCUGAUCCAGCGACGCCGCGUGAGUGAAGAAGUAUUUCGGUAUGUAAAGCUCUAUCAGCAAGGAAGAAAAUGACGGUACUUGACUAAGAAGCUCCGGCUAAAUACGUGCCAGCAGCCGCGGUAAUACGUAUGGAGCAAGCGUUAUCCGGAUUUACUGGGUGUAAAGGGAGCGUAGACGGCAAAGCAAGUCCGAAGUGAAAUCCCGGGGCGCAACCCCUGAACUGCUUUGGAAACUGUUUAGCUAGAGUGCAGGAGAGGUAAGCGGAAUUCCUAGUGUAGCGGUGAAAUGCGUAGAUAUUAGGAGGAACACCAGUGGCGAAGGCGGCUUACUGGACUGUAACUGACGUUGGGGCUCGAAAGCGUGGGGAGCAAACAGGAUUAGAUACCCUGGUA
Molecule: ribosomal RNA, 434 nt
Filed under: uncultured Lachnospiraceae bacterium
Lineage: Bacteria; Bacillati; Bacillota; Clostridia; Lachnospirales; Lachnospiraceae
Description: partial 16S ribosomal RNA
Rfam family: Bacterial small subunit ribosomal RNA
Source: RNAcentral